GGUUAAGCGACUAAGCGUACACGGUGGAUGCCCUGGCAGUCAGAGGCGAUGAAGGACGUGCUAAUCUGCGAUAAGCGUCGGUAAGGUGAUAUGAACCGUUAUAACCGGCGAUUUCCGAAUGGGGAAACCCAGUGUGUUUCGACACACUAUCAUUAACUGAAUCCAUAGGUUAAUGAGGCGAACCGGGGGAACUGAAACAUCUAAGUACCCCGAGGAAAAGAAAUCAACCGAGAUUCCCCCAGUAGCGGCGAGCGAACGGGGAGCAGCCCAGAGCCUGAAUCAGUGUGUGUGUUAGUGGAAGCGUCUGGAAAGGCGCGCGAUACAGGGUGACAGCCCCGUACACAAAAAUGCACAUGCUGUGAGCUCGAUGAGUAGGGCGGGACACGUGGUAUCCUGUCUGAAUAUGGGGGGACCAUCCUCCAAGGCUAAAUACUCCUGACUGACCGAUAGUGAACCAGUACCGUGAGGGAAAGGCGAAAAGAACCCCGGCGAGGGGAGUGAAAAAGAACCUGAAACCGUGUACGUACAAGCAGUGGGAGCACGCUUAGGCGUGUGACUGCGUACCUUUUGUAUAAUGGGUCAGCGACUUAUAUUCUGUAGCAAGGUUAACCGAAUAGGGGAGCCGAAGGGAAACCGAGUCUUAACUGGGCGUUAAGUUGCAGGGUAUAGACCCGAAACCCGGUGAUCUAGCCAUGGGCAGGUUGAAGGUUGGGUAACACUAACUGGAGGACCGAACCGACUAAUGUUGAAAAAUUAGCGGAUGACUUGUGGCUGGGGGUGAAAGGCCAAUCAAACCGGGAGAUAGCUGGUUCUCCCCGAAAGCUAUUUAGGUAGCGCCUCGUGAAUUCAUCUCCGGGGGUAGAGCACUGUUUCGGCAAGGGGGUCAUCCCGACUUACCAACCCGAUGCAAACUGCGAAUACCGGAGAAUGUUAUCACGGGAGACACACGGCGGGUGCUAACGUCCGUCGUGAAGAGGGAAACAACCCAGACCGCCAGCUAAGGUCCCAAAGUCAUGGUUAAGUGGGAAACGAUGUGGGAAGGCCCAGACAGCCAGGAUGUUGGCUUAGAAGCAGCCAUCAUUUAAAGAAAGCGUAAUAGCUCACUGGUCGAGUCGGCCUGCGCGGAAGAUGUAACGGGGCUAAACCAUGCACCGAAGCUGCGGCAGCGACGCUUAUGCGUUGUUGGGUAGGGGAGCGUUCUGUAAGCCUGUGAAGGUGUGCUGUGAGGCAUGCUGGAGGUAUCAGAAGUGCGAAUGCUGACAUAAGUAACGAUAAAGCGGGUGAAAAGCCCGCUCGCCGGAAGACCAAGGGUUCCUGUCCAACGUUAAUCGGGGCAGGGUGAGUCGACCCCUAAGGCGAGGCCGAAAGGCGUAGUCGAUGGGAAACAGGUUAAUAUUCCUGUACUUGGUGUUACUGCGAAGGGGGGACGGAGAAGGCUAUGUUGGCCGGGCGACGGUUGUCCCGGUUUAAGCGUGUAGGCUGGUUUUCCAGGCAAAUCCGGAAAAUCAAGGCUGAGGCGUGAUGACGAGGCACUACGGUGCUGAAGCAACAAAUGCCCUGCUUCCAGGAAAAGCCUCUAAGCAUCAGGUAACAUCAAAUCGUACCCCAAACCGACACAGGUGGUCAGGUAGAGAAUACCAAGGCGCUUGAGAGAACUCGGGUGAAGGAACUAGGCAAAAUGGUGCCGUAACUUCGGGAGAAGGCACGCUGAUAUGUAGGUGAAGUCCCUCGCGGAUGGAGCUGAAAUCAGUCGAAGAUACCAGCUGGCUGCAACUGUUUAUUAAAAACACAGCACUGUGCAAACACGAAAGUGGACGUAUACGGUGUGACGCCUGCCCGGUGCCGGAAGGUUAAUUGAUGGGGUUAGCGCAAGCGAAGCUCUUGAUCGAAGCCCCGGUAAACGGCGGCCGUAACUAUAACGGUCCUAAGGUAGCGAAAUUCCUUGUCGGGUAAGUUCCGACCUGCACGAAUGGCGUAAUGAUGGCCAGGCUGUCUCCACCCGAGACUCAGUGAAAUUGAACUCGCUGUGAAGAUGCAGUGUACCCGCGGCAAGACGGAAAGACCCCGUGAACCUUUACUAUAGCUUGACACUGAACAUUGAGCCUUGAUGUGUAGGAUAGGUGGGAGGCUUUGAAGUGUGGACGCCAGUCUGCAUGGAGCCGACCUUGAAAUACCACCCUUUAAUGUUUGAUGUUCUAACGUGGACCCGUGAUCCGGGUUGCGGACAGUGUCUGGUGGGUAGUUUGACUGGGGCGGUCUCCUCCUAAAGAGUAACGGAGGAGCACGAAGGUUGGCUAAUCCUGGUCGGACAUCAGGAGGUUAGUGCAAUGGCAUAAGCCAGCUUGACUGCGAGCGUGACGGCGCGAGCAGGUGCGAAAGCAGGUCAUAGUGAUCCGGUGGUUCUGAAUGGAAGGGCCAUCGCUCAACGGAUAAAAGGUACUCCGGGGAUAACAGGCUGAUACCGCCCAAGAGUUCAUAUCGACGGCGGUGUUUGGCACCUCGAUGUCGGCUCAUCACAUCCUGGGGCUGAAGUAGGUCCCAAGGGUAUGGCUGUUCGCCAUUUAAAGUGGUACGCGAGCUGGGUUUAGAACGUCGUGAGACAGUUCGGUCCCUAUCUGCCGUGGGCGCUGGAGAACUGAGGGGGGCUGCUCCUAGUACGAGAGGACCGGAGUGGACGCAUCACUGGUGUUCGGGUUGUCAUGCCAAUGGCACUGCCCGGUAGCUAAAUGCGGAAGAGAUAAGUGCUGAAAGCAUCUAAGCACGAAACUUGCCCCGAGAUGAGUUCUCCCUGACUCCUUGAGAGUCCUGAAGGAACGUUGAAGACGACGACGUUGAUAGGCCGGGUGUGUAAGCGCAGCGAUGCGUUGAGCUAACCGGUACUAAUGAACCGUGAGGCUUAACCUU
RNAcentral lists this ribosomal RNA (2904 nucleotides) under Escherichia coli. RNAcentral's name for it is "23S ribosomal RNA". It matches the Rfam family "Bacterial large subunit ribosomal RNA". The record is from RNAcentral. Lineage: Bacteria; Pseudomonadati; Pseudomonadota; Gammaproteobacteria; Enterobacterales; Enterobacteriaceae. RNAcentral also lists the same sequence under 1 other name.